This 74-nucleotide transfer RNA is filed under the name Acidobacteriota bacterium. Its description in RNAcentral is "Acidobacteria bacterium (soil metagenome) tRNA-Gln". It matches the Rfam family "tRNA". Rfam says of the family: Transfer RNA (tRNA) molecules are approximately 80 nucleotides in length. Their secondary structure includes four short double-helical elements and three loops (D, anti-codon, and T loops). Further hydrogen bonds mediate the characteristic L-shaped molecular structure. tRNAs have two regions of fundamental functional importance: the anti-codon, which is responsible for specific mRNA codon recognition, and the 3' end, to which the tRNAs corresponding amino acid is attached (by aminoacyl-tRNA synthetases). tRNAs cope with the degeneracy of the genetic code in two manners: having more than one tRNA (with a specific anti-codon) for a particular amino acid; and 'wobble' base-pairing, i.e. permitting non-standard base-pairing at the 3rd anti-codon position. The record is from RNAcentral. Lineage: Bacteria; Pseudomonadati; Acidobacteriota.
UCCGGGAUGGUGUAAGGGUAGCACGCUUGAUUCUGGAUCAAGAAAUUGGGGUUCGAAUCCCUACCCCGGAGCCA